RNAcentral lists this long non-coding RNA (251 nucleotides) under Olea europaea (common olive). Its description in RNAcentral is "long non-coding RNA (OEUR_LNC007817)". Lineage: Eukaryota; Viridiplantae; Streptophyta; Magnoliopsida; Lamiales; Oleaceae. The record is from RNAcentral.
AAUAAAGUGGUUUAUUAUCACAGAAAGAUUUCAUUUUUGUUGCAUAUUUCAAUUGGGUUUUCUUAUUUAAGUGUUGUUUGUUUGCAGGCUAAAUGAAAAAUGAUACACUCGUAAUUAUAAUUUCACACCCUAAUAGGAAAGGUUUUGUUUAUUUUCAUUAUUAUGGGAUUUUGGUGUUGGAAAGUUUGUAUCUUAAUUGCUUAAUAUGGUAUUGAUGAUUUUUAAGGUAUCUUAGCUUCUAUUCAUGUUCU